GCCCCAGCAAAUAUCAGCUUCACAGCUUUCAGCUGGUGAGGUCUGUAGUCAGCUGGUUACAACUUCCAGCAGAGUGCCAUGGGGCAAUAAAGGACACAUGGAAAUGGGAUACUCACCCUGGGGAGAGUGUGGGGAAAGCCUUUUUGCACCCUAGUUAUCCUCCUCUGUUGCAUUGUGUGCCUGGCACAGGCCCUUCCCCAAAGGCAAGAAAACAUAAAACAUUUCAUGAGCUAGAAGAAUGGGGAAAGUUUAUGAAGAGCUGCUGGCACUAUAUUCACAAGCAGGCAGAGGGAACGGAGUGAUUUUUAUUUUCCACCACGCUUAGAUUAUUGUCAUAAAGCUCUCAGAGAUGCCUGGCACGAGGGGAUGUAACAGCAGGAAGACUGGAGAGCGUCACUACAGGGCGAGCAGCGUCUUGUGAGGUCUGAGAUAAACGGCUCCGGCAGAUCGUGUUCACAGGCAUCUGCAAGACUAAGGAGGUGUGCUGCUCUAUCUGCCUCUCUGCUCAAGGCCAUUUUGAGAUCCAUUUUGAAUUAUUGUUUGUGGAUUUAGAAGAGUUCCAGCAGUGAUUUCAGAGCAUGCUGUGGAUCUGAGGUACCUCCUACAAAAUGGAUUUGGCCUCCGUUCCUUCAUUCUGUUCCCUUGGUCAACUUCUCUGUGCCAGGGAAAGCAGUAACAGAGAAAGGAUGGAGAAUUCCUGCUGCAUGUCCCAAUUCAGAGUAAGAACGCAGCUCCUAAGAUCAGAGAACAUAACUUGCAGCUGAUUAACCAAUACACAAGCUCGAUAUACAAGCUCGGUGUGCAGUGAGCACUGGCUGCCUUUGGCGAAAUGAUGGGAAGGCAGCCAAAGACAAACAUGCUGGAUGUCCGCAGGCUGGAAGAAGAGUAGACAAGGGGAAUUGGAGUCAAAAGCAGUUCUAUGUCCUCUGGUUUGCUGUUGUGUUCAGAUCCCCCAGCCUGAGUGGGAUCUUUGACAUGCUCGUACUGCUGCCAGCUGCAUUCACAUCCAUGCACAUCCUGCAUACAGAUGGUCGGACUGAGCAUCCUGACUUUCUCCUCCAUCAAUUGAGGUGAUACAAUAAUCGUAUCAAGGGAUCUGUGAUGAAAUCUAUAAUGCACAUAGAUGAAAGGAGAGGAUCUGAGUAGGAAAAAUGCAGUCUUGUGCUCCGCGUAAAAGCGGUGCCCAUUGACACACUUACUUUGUAGAUCUGUGAUUGUGACUUCAUUAAUUUAAGCCUGUUUGAAGACAGCGGUGUUUUGCAGCUGACAGCAGCAAGGCCAGCGAGGAGCAAUCUAUUACAAAACAGGCUGUGUAGUUCACCGUGUAAUUGGGACUUGCUGCUGAGCUCCCUUCUUUGGAAGGGGAUUUCUAAAACAUUUCUUAUCACGAUUAAUAGGAGCCUGCCAAAAUGUGCCUCCUCUUCCCCUCCUACAACCCAUUCCAGUGGGAGAGCUCCCAUUUUUGCCAGCCGGUGCCAUCUGUAACCACCCCUGUGCUAACAAAAGCGUAUUCAAGCCAUAAAUUCCCAAUAAACUAAAUAUAGUCAGGGAGAGAAUUUGAAAUUCCUCUUACUGAGCAGAGAUAUUUUCUUAUAAAAGAGUUUUCUUGAAAUGAAACCCGACGUGAUCCAGCCUCCAGAAGAGAAGGCAAAUAUUUAUCACCAGAGGGGAAUGUGAGGAGAAGGAGGGCCCUCAUAGUAACUCAUCACGGGCUGUUCAGGGAGUCCAUUCAUUUCUCUGUAAUCAACACAACCUGUCAAAGAAUGUUUCUCUCUUGUCCUCUCUCCUUGUAAGUCCUGUUUCUUCGGGAGGAUCCUUAUGGCCUUUGAAAUGCUUUAAAAGGUCAGACUACACAGCGGGAGGAACUGCAGAGACGGGGCGGGGGAAAGCAGCAGAGGAAAAGGCCAUCAGUGGAAACCCACUGAGAGGAGAAUACUGGCUAGAUAAAUAAUAUCAUAUUAAGUAGAAUUCAAGAGCCAGGCCUGCCAUGCUCCAGUAACAGAGAGUGAAUAAUUACAGCAGAGGUUAGGAGGUGAAAGCCUGUCUCCUGUAGGGGAUGAGGAGAGGAUAAUAAGCUUAGCACGCUCACAAAGGCAGCCAAGGAAAUCUGACCCUUUAUCACACUGUUAUCUGUAGAGAAGUAGAUGAGAUUAGGCCCAUAAUGGGAUUGGUGCCACAUGAAGCUUUGCAUUUCUGACGUUGCAAGGAGGUUACUGACACCAAUCCCUGCUAAUUUAUUGAAUUGCUGCAAUAAAAAUGCCUUCUCUACUGAAAAUAGCAGAGAGUAACUGAAUAAACCUCUUGAGUAAAAGCGGAUUCAUUGCCUGAAGAGGAUUUGCAGGGCACAGCAGUUAUUGAGUUAGCAGAUUCAGAAGCAGCCAGCUGCCCUGGCGAGGGCUUGAACUGCAUAAUGAUGCUUUCUUGGGCCGUCCUGCCUCCUACCCACCGUGUGUGAGGAACCGGGCUCCUGCUCCCAUGUCAAAGAGCAGGGAAGUGACCUGCUCAACAGCCAGGCUUCGAGCAGAGGUCGGCUUCACCUUCGUUCUCGUGCCAGGCUAACGCAGGAGUCAGAGCAGGAGCAGGUCCUCGUGCUCCCUGCUGUCCUCUGGGGACUCUUCUCCUCCUCUGAGCUUUGCAACUACAUUUCAGGGGUGUUUUUUUUCCCCUUUGGAAAGAACUUCUUAUUAUUUUGGAUGACUGAUUUUAUUCUCCCCACAAUCUGUGAGCUUCUCAUUGUCUGUGUGGCCCAAACACAUUAGUAUCCCGGGAACUCCUGACAGCUAUUGACAGAAAAUAUUGUUUAAGUAGCGGCGACUGAUAAAGCACAGAUGAAAAUGGGUUGAAGUUGGCUGUAAACAAUUAUUGUGUGAAAAGCAUGUGACUACAGUAGCUCUUAGUGAGUCAGCUAAGACAAGCUAAAGAUGAAGAAAGUUGAGAAUACUGUGGGAAUGGUUUUUCAGAGAACAGUAGAUUUACAACCUCCUCCCCUCCCAAAAAAGAAAGCUGAAUUCUUUGAUACUUUGAACACUUCCAGAGACAAAAGCUAAGAUGGAAGAAAACAACAUCUUGAGAAAGUCAAAAUGCAGUGUUUCAUCAUUUUCAAGAUCAGAUGGACUACAAUCAAAGUGGUCAGACCAUAAUUUUGAAAUGGUUUUGUUGCCAAACUGCCCCAUUCUGUGAAAAAGACACAGGAAAAAAAAAAAAAAAAAAAAAAAGGUUUGAAAGGGUUAAAUUAGCUGAAAAUGAUACUAAAUGAAAGCUUUUGAGUUGAGCCAAAAUAACAUUUUUCAUCUUUUUUUUUUUUUUUUUUUUUUUUUCAGAAGGAAAUAAAAAUGUUUUGAUUCAGUGCAGGCUAAAUUUUUAUUAGCUUUUUCUAUUCAAGCAUCAAUCAAAAAAAAAAAAAAAAAAAAGCCCUCUUUUUUUCCCUUGUGCUAAUUCAGAGCACUCUUGGCAGGAGAGGGUACAUCCCCAAGAAGCAGCUUUUCAUUUGUGCUUCGCCGUGUCAUACCAAGAAUAAUUUUUCCACUUAACCAAACCAUAACUUGGUGUGUUUAGCAAAUUCCUCCCGAAGGAAACUGGGAUGGAGCAGGAGGCAGUGGGGGCCAGGAAAGAAGUGCUGUGACAGCGGUGUGGGAAAGCGAGGACCAGGAGAGCAGCUCGAGGUGUGUCAAGAUCUGCUCUGCAAAGACAUGCAGAGAUAGGAAGCAGGCAGGGCUGUUUCCCCCUCUUUCAUAUCAUGUUUGUUUUAACUCAUCAGCGUUUCUGUGCUAAUUUGGGGAUAUAGUUGUGGGAAACUUUCAGCCCCUUAAUCAUCCAGCUUGGAAAACGCCAGCGAGCAUGAUAAACAAACCCUUCAAGAUGACAAAUGGAGAUGGGCUUAUUCCUCGCAGAGGACUUUCUCUUUCGUCUUGCUGGGAAGAUGGGUGCACAAGUGGACGAACAAAACAGCCGUUCCCACAGGGGAAGACGCUGCGAGCACAGAGCUUAGCUCUUGCCUCCCAUGGGGGAGAGGUCUUUCUGCCUGUAGAACGAAACUUGUUUUAAAUGCCCCAAAUAUGACGCUGGGAAUAACUUAAACAAGAGUCUGAGAGCCACGGGACAGUGAGAAGCUGAGUCGUGUUACUCAGCCAAGUGACAAAUCUAGGGUGCAGAAGGUAGAGUGUACAGCACAGAGCUCAUCCUGUAGGACACAGACACUUUUUCUCCUGGAAACACUGGGUAUUUUACAGUGAUGAUAUCUCAGAAGAGUGCUUGACCCCCACCGUCAGCUCGUUAAAGAAGCAAUCUUCCCUGACACCAGCAACCGUUGGUAUGAAAUGUUAUGAAACUCUCACCCUUGCUCUUCUUAGUAACAGAGUUUUCCAAAACAACCUCAAACACAAUCUUUCUACCAGAAGAGGGUUCUAGUCUGCAAAAUAAUCCUGCAAUCACAUGGAAAUUUAACUCGCAGUCCAAAGCACCAAUUGGCCCUCCAGUACCUCAGGCUUAAUAGCAUCUUCCCUGCUGCAAGAGCCGAGACCAAGGGGCAGGACCAGGCUGGCAAUGUGGCCUCCACGGUGUAACCAGCCAGGCUGCAGUGCCCUUAUUCCCAGAGUCAGCAUCUCAGUGCUUGGAACCAGAGUGAAAGGUUACCAUUUUGAUCUGCUUGCUUCUUACAGGCAUUUUCCACUGGCAAAAAAAAAAAAAAAAAAGAAAAAAAAAAAAGAUGACGCACAGGGAAAAAAGCCACGAAGAAGGACCUCCUGUCCUCCAUCCCCUCCUCUCGUGUAGUCCCCUCCAUUUCUUUCUAGCCAUUUAAUUGGAAAGUAUAUUUGCUCGCCCUUGCUUUGUGACGCACUCCAGAUAUCAUGUUCCCUCCUGAUUGCUUCCACUUUGUUUGCCUAUAUAUUAAUUCUUACAGCUCGCUGCCUGGCUCUGCAGAGCCAGCCUCUGCCGGGAGGACAGCCCCUCUGCCAGCUCCAGGGCACGUACCGGGUGAGGCCAUCCGACUUUCUCACCACCCAGUGAAAGAACACCUUGUUUGGGAUGGCGGCUUGGAUUUUC
This is a long non-coding RNA of Anas platyrhynchos (mallard), 5043 nucleotides long. RefSeq lists it as uncharacterized. Lineage: Eukaryota; Metazoa; Chordata; Aves; Anseriformes; Anatidae. The record is from RefSeq and is a predicted model, not a curated record.